Molecule: ribosomal RNA, 400 nt
Filed under: phytoplankton environmental sample
Lineage: Eukaryota
Description: partial small subunit ribosomal RNA
Rfam family: Eukaryotic small subunit ribosomal RNA
Source: RNAcentral
AGCUCCGCAGGUGUAUAUCUAUGCUGCUGCGGUUAAAAAGCUCGUAGUUGGAUCUGCGCACUCAGAACUGGUAGGCUCACUGAGUCCUGACUGGUAUCUGGUGCUUUAUUUGCUGGUUUUCCCUUGAUGCUCUUAACCGGGUGUCUUGGGUGGCUAGCGCUUUUACUUUGAAAAAAUUAGAGUGCUCAAUACAGGCGAACAGCCUUGAAUAGUGGUGCAUGGAAUAAUAGAAUAGGAUCUUGGUUCUAUUUUGUUGGUUUUCGGAACACAAGAUAAUGAUUAAGAGGGACAGACGGGGGCAUUCGUAUUGCGGCGUUAGAGGUGAAAUUCUUGGAUCGUCGCAAGACGGACGACUGCGAAAGCAUUUGCCAAGAAUGUUUUCAUUAAUCAAGAACGAAAG